GGCUGGUCUCAAACUCCUGAACUCAGGUCAUCCACCCGCCUCGGCCUCCGAAAGUGCUGGGAUUACAUGCAUGAGCCACCGCACCCGGCCCUAAUUUUUGUAUUUUUAGUAGAGAUGGGGGUUCGCCAUGUUGGCCAGGCUGGUCUCGAACUCCUGACCUAAGGUGAUCCACCUGCCUUAGCCUCCCAAAGUGUUGGAAUUACAGGCAUGAGCCACCAUGCCUGGCCGGUGAUUUUUUUUUUUUUUUUCCUAACUUGAGUGGGGAGACCUUAACUAAAGGAGCUGAGAGGGGAGAAUGGCAGAUAGAUGUAGGAUAAUUGAUGGUGCAAGAAACCAGAAAAGGAAAAGUAGAUGGGAAGGGGGAAAGGGGUGAGCAAAAAGUCAGAGAAGUCCGCCUCUUCCUACAAGAUUUAAAGAGUGCAUAAAGAUUGAAAUAUUUUGAGGUAGGGAGGCAUGCAUGCUUCCAUGGAUCAGCUGCCUGGAUUACCCUCUACAAUCAUCCUUAGGGCAGCUGGGGUCACUGUCCUUUAAAAUUUAAGUACAAUUGACUCCAAACCUGUGUACCACUUAAGAAACCCAGCAUACCUGCCAAUAUCUCCAGAGUUUCAUUGGGAACUUACAUUUCUCCUAAUUAUCUCAGGCCCUAAUUUCUUGUUUGCAAAAAAUAUUGUGCUCUUUGGAAGAUUUGUCACCAUAUCCCAGAUAUUAGUCCAUUUAUAUUACCUCAAAAUAUUGCACCCUACCUAUAAGCAGGAAAAAUGCCCAAUAUUAUAUUAUUAUAUUAUAGUUAUAUGAUUGUUAAAUAAACUAGAGUUUGUGGCCAUUAAAAAUCAUGGUAAAUAAAAAGAUUUAAUGAUGUGGGAAAUCUUUAUAAUUAAAAGCACAUUAUAAGGUGAUAUAGCAGAUGGUAAUAUAUAAAUAUACAUAAAUAAGUAUAAUGCGUAGAUUUUAAAAUGAGACUUUUCUUCUGUGACAUCUAUAUUUUCUUAUUUUUAUAGUGCAUGUAUAUUUCUCCUGGAAGCAGGGAAAUGGUAUCUUUAAGUAGCUUUUAAAAGUAUUUUUAAGAAAGGUGUUUUUUAAAAGAUAUUUAUGGGGUUCGAAAGAAAAAAAUAUUAGGGCUGGGCAUGAUGGCUCAUGCCUGUAAUUCCAGCUACUUGGGAGGCCGAGGCUGGUGGAUCACCUGAGGUCAGGAGUAUGGGACCAGCCUGGCCAACAUGGUGAAACCCCAUCUCUACUAAAAGUACAGGCGUGGUGGCACGCCUGUAGUCCCAGCUACUUGGGUGGCUGAAGCAUGAGAAUCACUUGAACCCAGGAGGUGGAGGUUGCAGUGAGCUGAGAUUGCACCACUGCACUCCAGUCUGGGCAACAGAGUGAGAAUCUGUCUCAAAAGAAAAAGAAAAAUAUAUUAGGACUCUGGAAAGGAAUUUGGAAAUGAAUCUUUGAAGUGUAGAUGGGACUUUAGCAAAUAGAGAUGGGCUGAGUAAGGAGACUGUCCCAGGCAGAAGGAACAGUACAACCAAGAACCCACAGUGGGAAAUAGAUGGAGUGUUCAGAGGGGAGCACCAAGAAAUCCAUUUGGCUGGAGCACAGGACUGGUGUAGAAGAAAAGUAGGGGAAUCAAUGUGGAAAGCCAUCCUCCAAUAAAUUCAAGUUUUUAUUUUGGAAUGACUUUCCAUUUAAAGAAUUUCGAGGAUACUACAAAGAGUUCCAG
Homo sapiens (human) is the source of this 1711-nucleotide long non-coding RNA. Lineage: Eukaryota; Metazoa; Chordata; Mammalia; Primates; Hominidae. The record is from Ensembl.